CCUCAUUGUGUCAAUGGUAUAUAGCAGGGCUAUUCAACUAUAUUUUUCCGGGGGCCAAAUUUGUCAGAAUACUAUGAUCUGUGGGCCGGACAUUCUCGUGA
Molecule: long non-coding RNA, 101 nt
Organism: Thalassophryne amazonica
Lineage: Eukaryota; Metazoa; Chordata; Actinopteri; Batrachoidiformes; Batrachoididae
Exons: 3
Source: RefSeq, a predicted model, not a curated record